GGAAGUACGUCAAAGUAGGAGAGUUGAGCUUGUCUGUAAAACAAGUGCUUCAUGCUGAGUAGGUUCGAAUCCUACUACUUCCA
RNAcentral lists this transfer RNA (83 nucleotides) under Flavobacterium aquaticum. RNAcentral describes it as "tRNA-Tyr". It matches the Rfam family "tRNA". From Rfam's summary of the family: Transfer RNA (tRNA) molecules are approximately 80 nucleotides in length. Lineage: Bacteria; Pseudomonadati; Bacteroidota; Flavobacteriia; Flavobacteriales; Flavobacteriaceae. The record is from RNAcentral.